UGUGAACUCGAAGAGUAGGGCGGGACACGUGGUAUCCUGUCUGAAUAUGGGGGGACCAUCCUCCAAGGCUAAAUACUCCUGACUGACCGAUAGUGAACCAGUACCGUGAGGGAAAGGCGAAAAGAACCCCGGCGAGGGGAGUGAAAAAGAACCUGAAACCGUGUACGUACAAGCAGUGGGAGCACCUUCGGGUGUGACUGCGUACCUUUUGUAUAAUGGGUCAGCGACUUAUAUUCUGUAGCAAGGUUAACCGUAUAGGGGAGCCGCAGGGAAACCGAGUCUUAACUGGGCGUUAAGUUGCAGGGUAUAGACCCGAAACCCGGUGAUCUAGCCAUGGGCAGGUUGAAGGUUGGGUAACACUAACUGGAGGACCGAACCGACUAAUGUUGAAAAAUUAGCGGAUGACUUGUGGCUGGGGGUGAAAGGCCAAUCAAACCGGGAGAUAGCUGGUUCUCCCCGAAAGCUAUUUAGGUAGCGCCUCGUGAACUCAUCUUCGGGGGUAGAGCACUGUUUCGGCUAGGGGGUCAUCCCGACUUACCAACCCGAUGCAAACUACGAAUACCGAAGAAUGUUAUCACGGGAGACACACGGCGGGUGCUAACGUCCGUCGUGAAGAGGGAAACAACCCAGACCGCCAGCUAAGGUCCCAAAGUCAUGGUUAAGUGGGAAACGAUGUGGGAAGGCACAGACAGCCAGGAUGUUGGCUUAGAAGCAGCCAUCAUUUAAAGAAAGCGUAAUAGCUCACUGGUCGAGUCGGCCUGCGCGGAAGAUGUAACGGGGCUAAACCAUGCACCGAAGCUGCGGCAGCGACACUAUGUGUUGUUGGGUAGGGGAGCGUUCUGUAAGCCUGCGAAGGUGUGCUGUGAGGCAUGCUGGAGGUAUCAGAAGUGCGAAUGCUGACAUAAGUAACGAUAAAGCGGGUGAAAAGCCCGCUCGCCGGAAGACCAAGGGUUCCUGUCCAACGUUAAUCGGGGCAGGGUGAGUCGACCCCUAAGGCGAGGCCGAAAGGCGUAGUCGAUGGGAAACAGGUUAAUAUUCCUGUACUUGGUGUUACUGCGAAGGGGGGACGGAGAAGGCUAUGUUAGCCGGGCGACGGUUGUCCCGGUUUAAGCAUGUAGGCUGGUUAUCCAGGCAAAUCCGGAUAAUCAAGGCUGAGGUGUGAUGACGAGGCACUACGGUGCUGAAGUAACAAAUGCCCUGCUUCCAGGAAAAGCCUCUAAGCAUCAGGUAACAUCAAAUCGUACCCCAAACCGACACAGGUGGUCAGGUAGAGAAUACCAAGGCGCUUGAGAGAACUCGGGUGAAGGAACUAGGCAAAAUGGUGCCGUAACUUCGGGAGAAGGCACGCUGGUGUGUAGGUGAAGUCCCUGCG
RNAcentral lists this ribosomal RNA (1372 nucleotides) under Klebsiella pneumoniae. Its description in RNAcentral is "partial 23S ribosomal RNA". It matches the Rfam family "Bacterial large subunit ribosomal RNA", at positions 398 to 1772 of the family's 2925-position model. Lineage: Bacteria; Pseudomonadati; Pseudomonadota; Gammaproteobacteria; Enterobacterales; Enterobacteriaceae. The record is from RNAcentral.